Molecule: ribosomal RNA, 260 nt
Filed under: uncultured archaeon
Lineage: Archaea
Description: partial 16S ribosomal RNA
Rfam family: Archaeal small subunit ribosomal RNA
Source: RNAcentral
UAGCCGUAAACGAUACUCGCUAGGUGUCGGCCACGGUGCGACCGUUGUCGGUGCCGUAGGGAGCCGUGAAGCGAGCCACCUGGGAAGUACGGCCGCAAGGCUGAAACUUAAAGGAAUUGGCGGGGGAGCACAACAACGGGUGGAGCUUGCGGUUUAAUUGGAUUCAACGCCGGAAAUCUUACCGGGACCGACAGCAACAUGAAGGCCAGGCUGAAGACUUUGCCGGAUUAGCUGAGAGGAGGUGCAUGGCGUAGUCGUGU